This 322-nucleotide ribosomal RNA is filed under the name uncultured bacterium. Its description in RNAcentral is "bacterial SSU rRNA". It matches the Rfam family "Bacterial small subunit ribosomal RNA", at positions 28 to 353 of the family's 1533-position model. The record is from RNAcentral.
GACGAACGCUGGCGGCGUGCUUAACACAUGCAAGUCGAACGAUGAAGCCUUUCGGGGUGGAUUAGUGGCGAACGGGUGAGUAACACGUGGGCAAUCUGCCCUUCACUCUGGGACAAGCCCUGGAAACGGGGUCUAAUACCGGAUAACACUCUGUCCCGCAUGGGACGGGGUUAAAAGCUCCGGCGGUGAAGGAUGAGCCCGCGGCCUAUCAGCUUGUUGGGUGGGGUGAUGGCCUACCAAGGCGACGACGGGUAGCCGGCCUGAGAGGGCGACCGGCCACACUGGGACUGAGACACGGCCCAGACUCCUACGGGAGGCAGCA